GAUGAACGCUGGCUACAGGCUUAACACAUGCAAGUCGAGGGGAAACGACGGGGAAGCUUGCUUCCCCGGGCGUCGACCGGCGCACGGGUGAGUAACGCGUAUCCAACCUGCCUCUGACUGAGGGAUAACCCGUCGAAAGUCGGCCUAAUACCUCAUGGCAUCGUCUGCGGGCAUCCAACGACGAUUAAAGAUUUCAUCGGUCAGGGAUGGGGAUGCGUCUGAUUAGCUUGUUGGCGGGGUAACGGCACACCAAGGCGACGAUCAGUAGGGGUUCUGAGAGGAAGGUCCCCCACAUUGGAACUGAGACACGGUCCAAACUCCUACGGGAGGCAGCAGUGAGGAAUAUUGGUCAAUGGGCGGGAGCCUGAACCAGCCAAGUAGCGUGCAGGAUGACGGCCCUAUGGGUUGUAAACUGCUUUUAUGCGGGGAUAAAGUGAGGGACGUGUCCCUCAUUGCAGGUACCGCAUGAAUAAGGACCGGCUAAGUCCGUG
RNAcentral lists this ribosomal RNA (491 nucleotides) under uncultured bacterium. RNAcentral's name for it is "partial 16S ribosomal RNA". It matches the Rfam family "Bacterial small subunit ribosomal RNA", at positions 28 to 507 of the family's 1533-position model. The record is from RNAcentral.